This 309-nucleotide long non-coding RNA is filed under the name Bos taurus (domestic cattle). RNAcentral's name for it is "long non-coding RNA NONBTAT017161". The record is from RNAcentral. Lineage: Eukaryota; Metazoa; Chordata; Mammalia; Artiodactyla; Bovidae.
UGUUGAUGGUGGUUUAGCAUGGAAGUCAGGGAACUCCUCUUUGACAUCAAGUGAGACUCAACAGAACAAAAAGAGCCAGUCAUGCGGAGAUAAAUGGGACGAUUCUAAAUAUCUGACAAGUGAUUAGCGCACACUCAAUUUACAUAACCAAAUAAAAACUGCUCCUCCAAAGUAAUCAUCUUAUGAACUAUAAGACUGUCCAAGUUAUCCUUUCAUUACCAGAAACAUUUCUUGGAGAUCAUGUGUAAAUGCCUUGAGCAUCAGUGGUACAUCUUUGGACUGAGUUUUGUAAACAGCUAAGUCACUUCA